CUACCAUGCAAGUCGAACGGAAGGCCCUGCUUUUGUGGGGUGCUCGAGUGGCGAACGGGUGAGUAACACGUGAGUAACCUGCCCUUGACUUUGGGAUAACUUCAGGAAACUGGGGCUAAUACCGGAUAGGAGCUCCUGCUGCAUGGUGGGGGUUGGAAAGUUUCGGCGGUUGGGGAUGGACUCGCGGCUUAUCAGCUUGUUGGUGGGGUAGUGGCUUACCAAGGCUUUGACGGGUAGCCGGCCUGAGAGGGUGACCGGCCACAUUGGGACUGAGAUACGGCCCAGACUCCUACGGGAGGCAGCAGUGGGGAAUAUUGCACAAUGGGCGGAAGCCUGAUGCAGCAACGCCGCGUGCGGGAUGACGGCCUUCGGGUUGUAAACCGCUUUCGCCUGUGACGAAGCGUGAGUGACGGUAAUGGGUAAAGAAGCACCGGUUAACUACGUGCCAGCAGCCGCGGUGAUACGUAGGGUGCGAGCGUUGUCCGGAUUUAUUGGGCGUAAAGGGCUCGUAGGUGGUUGAUCGCGUCGGAAGUGUAAUCUUGGGGCUUAACCCUGAGCGUGCUUUCGAUACGGGUUGACUUGAGGAAGGUAGGGGAGAAUGGAAUUCCUGGUGGAGCGGUGGAAUGCGCAGAUAUCAGGAGGAGCACCAGUGGCGAAGGCGGUUCUCUGGGCCUUUCCUGACGCUGAGGAGCGAAAGCGUGGGGAGCGAACAGGCUUAGAUACCCUGGUAGUCCACGCUGU
This 741-nucleotide ribosomal RNA is filed under the name uncultured bacterium. RNAcentral describes it as "bacterial SSU rRNA". It matches the Rfam family "Bacterial small subunit ribosomal RNA", at positions 49 to 803 of the family's 1533-position model. The record is from RNAcentral.